UACGAAGGGUGCAAGCGUUAUCCGGAUUCAUUGGGUUUAAAGGGUGCGUAGGCGGAACAAUAAGUCAGUGGUGAAAGCCCGCAGCUUAACUGCGGAAUUGCCGUUGAUACUGUUGUUCUUGAGUACGCUUGACGUGGGCGGAAUGUGCCGUGUAGCGGUGAAAUGCUUAGAUAUGGCACAGAACACCGAUAGUGAAGACAGCUCACGAAGGCGAAACUGACGCUGAGGCACGAAAGCGUGGGGAUCAAACAGGAUUAGAAACCCUUGUAGUCC
This 273-nucleotide ribosomal RNA is filed under the name uncultured prokaryote. Its description in RNAcentral is "partial 16S ribosomal RNA". It matches the Rfam family "Bacterial small subunit ribosomal RNA", at positions 524 to 796 of the family's 1533-position model. The record is from RNAcentral.